Molecule: non-coding RNA, 29 nt
Filed under: Mus musculus (house mouse)
Lineage: Eukaryota; Metazoa; Chordata; Mammalia; Rodentia; Muridae
Also listed under: 1 other name
Source: RNAcentral
UGGGAAGCUAAGAAACCAGAUUAUUGGCA